CCUACGGGAGGCAGCAGUGAGGAAUAUUGGACAAUGGGCGCAAGCCUGAUCCGGCCAUGCCGCGUGCAGGAUGAAGCAUCUAUGGUGUGUAAACUGCUUUUGUACGAGAAGAAACACUCCGACGUGUCGGAGCUUGACGGUAUCGUAAGAAUAAGGAUCGGCUAACUCCGUGCCAGCAGCCGCGGUAAUACGGAGGAUCCAAGCGUUAUCCGGAAUCAUUGGGUUUAAAGGGUCCGUAGGCGGGCUUAUAAGUCAGUGGUGAAAUCUCCCGGCUCAACCGGGAAAUGGCCAUUGAUACUGUAGGUCUUGAAUUAUUAGGAAGUAACUAGAAUAUGUAGUGUAGCGGUGAAAUGCUUAGAGAUUACAUGGAAUACCAAUUGCGAAGGCAGGUUACUACUAAUUGAUUGACGCUGAUGGACGAAAGCGUGGGUAGCGAACAGGAUUAGAUACCCUGGUAGUCCACGCCGUAAACGAUGGAUACUAGCUGUUGGGGGCAACUUCAGUGGCUAAGCGAAAGUGAUAAGUAUCCACCUGGGGAGUACGUUCGCAAGAAUUGAAAUUCAAAGGAAUUGAGGCUGAGAGNGCGAGACGACGACGAGGAGGAGG
Molecule: ribosomal RNA, 606 nt
Filed under: uncultured bacterium
Lineage: Bacteria
Description: bacterial SSU rRNA
Rfam family: Bacterial small subunit ribosomal RNA
Source: RNAcentral